This 490-nucleotide ribosomal RNA is filed under the name uncultured bacterium. Its description in RNAcentral is "partial 16S ribosomal RNA". It matches the Rfam family "Bacterial small subunit ribosomal RNA", at positions 28 to 507 of the family's 1533-position model. The record is from RNAcentral.
GUUGAACGCUGGCGGCAGGCCUAACACAUGCAAGUCGAACGGUAACAGGAAACAGCUUGCUGUUUCGCUGACGAGUGGCGGACGGGUGAGUAAUGUCUGGGAAACUGCCUGAUGGUGGGGGAUAACUACUGGAAACGGUAGCUAAUACCGCAUAACGUCGCAAGACCAAAGAGGGGGACCUUCGGGCCUCUUGCCAUCGGAUGUGCCCAGAUGGGAUUAGCUAGUAGGUGGGGUAACGGCUCACCUAGGCGACGAUCCCUAGCUGGUCUGAGAGGAUGACCAGCCACACUGGAACUGAGACACGGUCCAGACUCCUACGGGAGGCAGCAGUGGGGAAUAUUGCACAAUGGGCGCAAGCCUGAUGCAGCCAUGCCGCGUGUAUGAAGAAGGCCUUCGGGUUGUAAAGUACUUUCAGCGGGGAGGAAGGGAGUAAAGUUAAUACCUUUACUCAUUGACGUUACCCGCAGAAGAAGCACCGGCUAACUCCGUG